Molecule: long non-coding RNA, 241 nt
Organism: Bubalus bubalis (water buffalo)
Lineage: Eukaryota; Metazoa; Chordata; Mammalia; Artiodactyla; Bovidae
Exons: 2
Source: RefSeq, a predicted model, not a curated record
CCGGUCCCGCCCCCGCCCCGCCCCGCUCCAGCUGUCAGUGUAUGGGCAUGGUCGUUCUGGCCACGCCUCUACCUUAUUGGCUGCAUUGCUCGUACAAAUGCAAGAGACUCGUGGACUUUCCCAGAGGUCCAGUGGUUAAGACUCUUCCCUUCCAGUGUAGGGGGCAGCAGUUCCCAUCCCUGGUUGGAGGACUAAGAUCCCACCUGUGCAGUGAAACAACUCCCUCCCCGCCCCCAACAAC